GAUGAACGCUGGCGGCGUGCCUAAUACAUGCAAGUCGAGCGAACAGACGAGGAGCUUGCUCCUCUGACGUUAGCGGCGGACGGGUGAGUCACACGUGGACAACCUACCUAUAAGACUUGGAUAACUUCGGGAAACCGGAGCUCAUCACGGAUAAUAUAUUGCACCUCAUACUUCAAUAGUAAAAGCCAGCUUUGCUGUCACUUAUCGAUGGAUCCGCGCCGCAUUAGAUAGUUGGUAAGUUAACGGCUUAACAAGGCGACGAUGGGUAGCCGACCUGAUCGGGUGAUCGGCCACACUGGAACUGAGACUCAUUCCAGACUCUGACGGGGGGCCGCAGUCGGGAAUCUUCCGCGAUGCGGGAGAGCGUGAUGGAGCAACGUGGCGUGAGUGAUGAAGGUCUUCGGAUCGGAGAGCUCUGUUAUUAGGGAAGAACAAAUGUGUAAGUAACUAUGCACGUAUUGACGGUACCUAAGCAGAAAGCCACGGCUAACUACGUG
RNAcentral lists this ribosomal RNA (497 nucleotides) under uncultured bacterium. RNAcentral's name for it is "partial 16S ribosomal RNA". It matches the Rfam family "Bacterial small subunit ribosomal RNA", at positions 28 to 507 of the family's 1533-position model. The record is from RNAcentral.